Molecule: non-coding RNA, 25 nt
Filed under: Cricetulus griseus (Chinese hamster)
Lineage: Eukaryota; Metazoa; Chordata; Mammalia; Rodentia; Cricetidae
Source: RNAcentral
CCUCGGUCUCCGCCGGAGGAUCGUG